Molecule: RNA transcript, 2961 nt
Organism: Cornus florida
Lineage: Eukaryota; Viridiplantae; Streptophyta; Magnoliopsida; Cornales; Cornaceae
Exons: 3
Source: RefSeq, a predicted model, not a curated record
CUGAUGAUGGGCCAACUCAAGAGCAAGAGCCGGUCUAUUUGAUAGCAACUAUCCAUUAUCAUCAACAACCCAAUAAAUCAAAUUAGGGAACCCAAUCGAAACCCUAAUCAAUCGAUCGUUAUUUUCCUCCCUAAAAUCCGUUCUCUCGCAUCCUCAAUCUUUCAAAUAAGCCAAUUAGAAUUUCUACCUUGCGCUCCAUUUGGGUGUAGCUUCUGCGAAUCCAUCUACACUCGAAGAGAAGUCUUCACUGUUUGACGAACCCAAUGUCGAGAGACAGCAAUGACCGAUUACCGAUGGAAAACUUUAGAGCUGCGGUUAUGGAAAUGGCAAGCAGACAUCCAAACAAACCCUUAACGGAGGCGCGAAAAUGUCUAAUUGAUAAACGCAUCCGAGAGUUCUUCGCCCACACGCCCAGCCCUCCUGAUCAUCCCCCUUACUCUGCGAUGAUACACAGGGCACUUCAAGAGUUGAACGAGGAAGGUGGUUCUAGUGAAGAGUCAAUAUCAAAUUUUAUUAGAAAGGAGUAUAAAGAAUUGCCAUGGGCACAUUCUGUAUUCUUGAAUCAUCAUCUGGGGAAACUUUGUGUGAGUGGUGAGAUUGUUUUGACUCGUGACAAUUCUUAUUUGCUUGCUGGUGCAAUCAGGAAACAAAAACCUAGCUCUAGACGUCCUUCUAAGAGGAAGGAACUGAAGAGAAAGCGAAGCAAGAAGCGGCAAAGGGAACUGGGUUGUCCAUGUAACAAACAAGAAAUUGAAGCAGAAUAUCACUUGAAAGAACAAAUGGAAGUGAUUGAAGAACUGAAUCAAGCACUAGAAGAUAAUACUGAAAUGGUUGACAAACAAAAUCAAGCGCCAAUUGGUGAGAUGUUGCAAUCCUAUGAUGAUGGUGAGAAGGGUGAUGGUAGAAAAUUAAAAGUGCUGCCUGUUGAGUCUCUUGGGUCCAUUAUGGAAGAAGAAAUUGGAGCAGAAUAUCAGUUAGAAGAAUCAAGGGAAGGGAUUGAAGAACUAAAUCAAGCACUAGAACAUUAUACUUUUGACAAACAAAAUCAAGCGUCAAUCAGUGAGAUGUUGCAAUCCUGUGAUGAUGGUGAGAAGGGUGAUGGUAGGAAAUUAAAGUUGCUCCCCUUUGAGUCUCUUGGGCCCAUUAUGGAAGAAGAAAUUGAAGAUGAAUAUCAGUUAAAAGAACCAAUGGAAGUGAUUGAAGAACAAAAUGAAGCAUUAGAAGAUGAGAAGGAUGAUGAUAUCAGUGAGAUGUUGCAAUCCUGUGAUGAUCGUGAGAAGGGUGAUGGUUGGAAAUUAAAGGUGCUGCCCGUUGAGGCUCUUGGCUCCAUUAUGGAAGAAGAAAUUGAAUCAGAAUAUCUAUUGAAAGAACCGAUGGAAGGGAUUGUAGAACAAAAUCAAGCAUUAGAAUAUGAGAAGGAUGAUGAUAUCAGUGAGAUGUUGCAAUCCUGUGAUGAUGGUGAGAAGGGUGAUGGUAGGAAAUUAAAAUUGCUGCCCGUUGAGGCUCUUGGGCCCAUUAUGGAAGAAGAAGUUGAAUCAGAAUAUCAGUUGAAAGAACUGAUGGAAGGAUUGAAAGAACCGUUGGAAGGGAUUGAAGAACAAAAUGAAGCAUUAGACUAUGAGAAGGAUGGUGAUAUCAGUGAGAUGUUGCAAUCCUGUGAUGCUGGUGAGAAGGGUGAGGGCAGGAAAUUAAAGGUGCUGCCCGUUGAGUCUCUUGGGCCCAUUAUGGAAGAAGAAAUUGAAGCAGAAUAUCAGUUGAAAGAACCGAUGGAAGGGAUUGAAGAACAAAAUCAAGCAUUAGAAGAUGAGAAGAAUUAUGAAAGUUUAAAGUUGCCGUCUGUUGAGUCCCUUGAGCCUAUUAUGGAAGAAGAGAAAAAAGAAUCUUCAGAGGAAGAGCAGCCGAUGAAGAGUGCUGGAGAGGAAAAUUCUGAUAUUGUUGUUUUGCAGCCGGAACAGCAAUUAGAUCUUCCACUUCCUGAAAAAUUUUCGGAACUAAAAUCAACAGAAUUGAGUUACACACCGGAUCAGCUGGAGCAGCGGACACAGGAGAAGCCACAACGUAGGCAAUUACGGCCUCGACCUCCUAAAGCUGGAUCACUGACAGAUACAAGUAUGACAUCCUUGCCCUCACAAAAUCAGCAUGAGGUGCAGCGGAUGCAGGAGAAGCCACAACGUAGGAAAUUACGGCCUCGACCUCCCAAAGCUGGAUCACUGACAGAUACAAGUAUGGCUGAAUCCUUGCCCUCACAACAUCAGCAUGAGGAGCAGCAGACACAGGAGAAGCCACGACGUAGGCAAUUACGGCCUCGACCUCCUAAAGCUGGAUCACUGGCUGCUGCAAGUACGACUGAAUCAUUGCCCCGUCAACAGGAGCAGCUGGAGCAAGUGGAGCAACCAGAGCAUCGAGGUCCGGGGAGGCCUAAGAAGCAACGGGAGCAGCUGGAGCAAGUGGAGCAACCGGAGCGUCGAGGCCGUGGGAGGCCUAGAAAGCAGCAGGAGGAACCGAAGCAGCAGGCGCAACCAAAGCGUCGAGGCCGGGGGAGGCCUCCUAAAGCCCAAACCAACUAGUAGCAUGGAUAUGAAGACUCAAUGAAGUGGCAGCAGAAGCCUAAGUGUUGGGACCUGGAAGGUUGCUAAAGCUGUGAAUUCAAGGACAGUAACUGUGGACUCUGGCUUCUCUGUCCAUUGGAGGGAUCUGACUGGGAUUGUUCGUGAAAAGGUCAAUUGUUUCCUUUGGGAGGCCUUGGGUGCGAGAUUGAGACAUCGCUCAAUGUAGGUUCCGGUACACGCCAACAUCCAUGGAUGAAGUAGAGAUCUGAUCGCAAAAUUACAAAAAACACAGAGUCGGUUACAAAUUGCAUGAAACUUUUCAUUGGGAUGAUUGAAGAUUGACUAUUCAUUUAGUCUCGGUUUGUUUGGACGUAAAAUAUUUUUUUUGAAUUUUUUUUUUUUUUUUUUUUUU